Long non-coding RNA from Vulpes vulpes (red fox), 2299 nucleotides. NCBI's taxonomy places the organism in Eukaryota, Metazoa, Chordata, Mammalia, Carnivora, Canidae. The record is from Ensembl.
UCUCUUUUGGAAUUCUCAGGGUGUCAUUCUUCCAACUUUACUGAUGAGGAAACCAAGCCCAGGGGGUAAGGGAUAAUAUGUCCAGAGAAAGUAAAGGAAACAGGAAAAGAAACAGGGAAGUAAAGGAAAGGGGAUUCAAACAGAGGCCUGCUGAGGAUCCUGUCAUGCCAUGCUGAAAGAUGACCCACUGGUGCCUUCACGUCUCAUCUCAUGUAUCAAUCUACACAAACUUACAGAGUGGACAACAGAAGGUGCUUUGUCCGCCUGGGGGGUGGGGUCCGGGGAGGCACAUGGAGGAUCAGACACAUAACGGAUAUUACACUUUUAGUCCAAGGCCGCCCUGCCUACACAUUGAUUCUGAGGCUUCCUCUAAACCAUUCUGUAGAUUAAUUGUGGCACGUACCCUUCAGGGUCGAUGGUGAAGGACAACAAAAAUGGGCUGGAGCAGUGUGAGCAGGGAAGGAGCUCACUGAGAGGAUAUUUUACAGUCAGAGCUGACCUCACCGAGCCCUCUCCGGACCCAGGCAUGGGCCAAAUGCUUGACUUGCAUAAUUCAUUUUAUAGAUGAGGAAACUAAAGUUUGGUGAGGCAAAGCAAGUUGCCCAAGAUCAACACCCAGGACAUGGGAGAGCAGGAUUGCAAUCUGGCCGGCUAGCCCUGGAGCCCACACUCCCGAAAACCACAGUUGGCUCUCUUGCUGCUAUCUCUGUUGGUCUUCCUGCUUCGUGUCCCUCCUUCAGGAGCCAAGGUAAGGGAACUUAGACCCCGAGAGCUUCUGUGACUUAGCAGUGCAUCGCAGAUACACCCGCCAACAACUGCCACAGAACGAGCAACCUCAACAUCUCAAUGUUGCAAGAUAAUAAGCAUUUCUUCUGCCCUCACCAGUCCAUGGGUUGGUUGCAGGGGCCUUCCUGUACAUGUCUCAUCCUUAGCCUGGGACAUCAGACCAGCCAGGGCACGUUCUCUCCAAGCAGGUGUAGGGGCACUCAAGCCCAUGGCAAAGCACACUUCAAGCUCCUGCUUGCAUCACAUCUGCCAACUCCUACAUUGUGGGGAUGCACUAUUGCGCUCUCAAUUAAGGCUUUGGGCUCUUCAGGAGAAAAGAGACUCAUGCAUAUCAGCUCAACAGUAGUACGCAUUCCACUGAGACUGCUUUUGGGUACAAGUACCCAGAGAAUGGACCGCAUGGGGUUGUACCAGCGUUUACUAGGUGCUGUUCCAAUCUGCCUCCCUGCCCUGACUGGUGAACUCUCAGCUUCCUCCAUUCCCUGCCUCCUGGCAAGCAGAGGGGAAAGAUGAUCCCCGAUUGUAGAAAUCCAGGAGGCGUGGCAAGGUGGCUUUUUGGCGGGCUCGUAAAUUGCCAAGUGGAUUAUGGAGGAUAGAUAAGCCGGAAGACGCCAGGCACAGCUUGGAUGUAUUUCAUUUCUGAUCACACCGGAAUGGAGCAAGAAUUAUGGACAAAGUGCAUAGACCCAAGCAGCCAUGCUUGAUCAUUUACACCCCUCGCUGUCAUUUUUAAUCUGCGGUGUCUGUUCUCUCCAACCCCGAAAACACCAAACCCGGCCUCUUGAAGAACCUCUUCACUCGAGUCUUUCUCAAUAUGUCGAGCCUUUCUCAAUAUUUGGCAUGGUUCCCAUGGGAGCUUCCCCACACUGUGACCCUGCUGUGGGGACUAAACACGAGAAUGAGUCUGGUGGAGGGGGCACUUGACAUCUGGUUUGUAAAUUAACAUCAACCACAUGUGCAUGUGCCCAUAUCCACACUCCUUUCUCCAAAGCCCCAUCACAUUUUAGAGAUAAAAAUGAGUUGGGAGCAUAAGCUUUUGGGUCAUGUGGAAUUGAACUGGAAUAUUAAUCCCAACACUUACAAAUGGUGGGAGUUUGGAGGGGACAUUUAAUCUCUUUCAGCCUCAGUAUCCUUAUUUGUAAAUGGGCUAAUGACAUCUACCUUAUGGAGUUGUUGGACAUGUGGGGUUGUGUCCAUGAUGAGAACAUGCAUCUGACACUUGGUAGAGUUCAUGGUACCUAGUUAAGACUUUAAGCAUGACAGUUAUUAUCAUGGUUAUUGUCCAGACACAAGAUGAUGGACCUGCUCCCUGAGGCCAACUGAGAUGCGUCCAGGCUUAGAUUCACAGAGUCCAUGACUGGACACAGGUUGGAUGGAUGGAUGGAUGGAUGGAUGGAUGGAUGGACAAGUGGAUGGUUAGUUUUGUGGAUGGAUAGGUAGAUAAAUGCACAGGUGAAGGGCCAGGUGGUACAAUAUCUGAAUAGGCUCUAUUUUGGGCAAGAGAACAUCAAAG